Molecule: unclassified non-coding RNA, 314 nt
Filed under: plant metagenome
Description: partial contains 5.8S ribosomal RNA, internal transcribed spacer 2, and large subunit ribosomal RNA
Rfam family: 5.8S ribosomal RNA (bases 1-105)
Source: RNAcentral
GAACUGCGAUAAGUAAUGUGAAUUGCAGAAUUCAGUGAAUCAUCGAGUCUUUGAACGCACAUUGCGCCCCCUGGCAUUCCGGGGGGCAUGCCUGUCCGAGCGUCAUUGCUGCCCUUCAAGCCCGGCUUGUGUGUUGGUCGUCGUCCCCUCCGGGGGACGGGCCCGAAAGGCAGCGGCGGCACCGCGUCCGGUCCUCGAGCGUAUGGGGCUUUGUCACCCGCUCGAUAAGGACCGGCCGGGCGCCAGCCGGCGUCUCCAACCUUUUUUUCUCAGGUUGACCUCGGAUCAGGUAGGGAUACCCGCUGAACUUAAGC